GGCCAGCUUGGCGUUAGUUGUCCAAGUUUAAGGUGGUAGGCUGAAAUCUUAGGUAAAUCCGGGGUUUCAAGGCCGAGAGCUGAUGACGAGUCGUCUUUUAGAUGACGAAGUGGUUGAUGCCAUGCUUCCAAGAAAAGCUUCUAAGCUUCAGGUAACCAGGAACCGUACCCCAAACCGACACAGGUGGUCGGGUAGAGAAUACCAAGGCGCUUGAGAGAACUCGGGUGAAGGAACUAGGCAAAAUGGCACCGUAACUUCGGGAGAAGGUGCGCCGGCUAGGGUGAAGGAUUUACUCCGUAAGCUCUGGCUGGUCGAAGAUACUAGGCCGCUGCGACUGUUUAUUAAAAACACAGCACUCUGCAAACACGAAAGUGGACGUAUAGGGUGUGACGCCUCCCCGGUGCCGGAAGGUUAAUUGAUGGGGUUAGCGCAAGCGAAGCUCUUGAUCGAAGCCCCGGUAAACGGCGGCCGUAACGAUAACGGUCCUAAGGUAGCGAAAUUCCUUGUCGGGUAAGUUCCGACCUGCACGAAUGGCGUAACGAUGGCGGCGCUGUCUCCACCCGAGACUCAGUGAAAUUGAAAUCGCUGUGAAGAUGCAGUGUAUCCGCGGCUAGACGGAAAGACCCCGUGAACCUUUACUGUAGCUUUGCACUGGACUUUGAGCCUGCUUGUGUAGGAUAGGUGGGAGGCUUUGAAGCGUGGACGCCAGUUCGCGUGGAGCCAUCCUUGAAAUACCACCCUGGCAUGCUUGAGGUUCUAACUCUGGUCCGUAAUCCGGAUCGAGGACAGUGUAUGGUGGGCAGUUUGACUGGGGCGGUCUCCUCCUAAAGAGUAACGGAGGAGUACGAAGGUGCGCUCAGACCGGUCGGAAAUCGGUCGCAGAGUAUAAAGGCAAAAGCGCGCUUGACUGCGAGACAGACACGUCGAGCAGGUACGAAAGUAGGUCUUAGUGAUCCGGUGGUUCUGUAUGGAAGGGCCAUCGCUCAACGGAUAAAAGGUACUCCGGGGAUAACAGGCUGAUACCGCCCAAGAGUUCAUAUCGACGGCGGUGUUUGGCACCUCGAUGUCGGCUCAUCACAUCCUGGGGCUGAAGCCGGUCCCAAGGGUAUGGCUGUUCGCCAUUUAAAGUGGUACGCGAGCUGGGUUUAGAACGUCGUGAGACAGUUCGGUCCCUAUCUGCCGUGGACGUUUGAGAUUUGAGAGGGGCUGCUCCUAGUACGAGAGGACCGGAGUGGACGAACCUCUGGUGUUCCGGUUGUCACGCCAGUGGCAUUGCCGGGUAGCUAUGUUCGGAAAAGAUAACCGCUGAAAGCAUCUAAGCGGGAAACUUGCCUCAAGAUGAGAUCUCACUGGGAACUUGAUUCCCCUGAAGGGCCGUCGAAGACUACGACGUUGAUAGGCUGGGUGUGUAAGCGUUGUGAGGCGUUGAGCU
Molecule: ribosomal RNA, 1432 nt
Filed under: metagenome
Description: bacterial LSU rRNA
Rfam family: Bacterial large subunit ribosomal RNA
Source: RNAcentral